CAGGCUCUAGCUUGCUAGAGCGCUGACGAGUGGCGAACGGGUGAGUAACGCGUAGGGAUCUGCCUUAGAGAGGGGGACAACUCGAGGAAACUCGAGCUAAUACCGCAUACGGUCUACGGACUAAAGGGGGCCUCUAUAUAAAAGCUCUCGCUCUAAGAUGAACCUGCGUCCGAUUAGCUAGUUGGUAAGGUAAAAGCUUACCAAGGCGACGAUCGGUAGCUGUUCUGAGAGGAAGAUCAGCCACACUGGGACUGAGACACGGCCCAGACUCCUACGGGAGGCAGCAGUGGGGAAUAUUGGACAAUGGGGGCAACCCUGAUCCAGCAAUGCCGCGUGUGUGAAGAAGGCCUGAGGGUUGUAAAGCACUUUCGUUGGGGAGGAGUAGCUUUUCGUUAAUAGCGAGGAGUGAAGACGUUACCCAAAAAAGCAGCACCGGCUAACUCUGUGCCAGCAGCCGCGGUAAUACAGAGGGUGCAAGCGUUAAUCGGAAUCAUUGGGCGUAAAGCGCACGUAGGUGGUGAGGUGUGUUGGCUGUGAAAGCUCCGGGCUUAACCUGGAAAAGCCAGUCAAAACUGCAUCACUAGAGUCUAUCAGAGGGUAGU
RNAcentral lists this ribosomal RNA (602 nucleotides) under uncultured bacterium. RNAcentral describes it as "bacterial SSU rRNA". It matches the Rfam family "Bacterial small subunit ribosomal RNA", at positions 69 to 662 of the family's 1533-position model. The record is from RNAcentral.